This 413-nucleotide ribosomal RNA is filed under the name uncultured bacterium. Its description in RNAcentral is "bacterial SSU rRNA". It matches the Rfam family "Bacterial small subunit ribosomal RNA", at positions 505 to 916 of the family's 1533-position model. The record is from RNAcentral.
GUGCCAGCCGCCGCGGUAAUACGUAGAGGGCAAGCGUUGUCCGGAAUUACUGGGCGUAAAGCGUGCGCAGGCGGUUUUGUAAGUCAGAUGUGAGAUCCCCGGGCUCAACCUGGGAACUGCAUUUGAGACUGCAAGGCUAGAGUGUAGCAGAGGGGGGUAGAAUUCCACGUGUAGCAGUGAAAUGCGUAGAGAUGUGGAGGAAUACCGAUGGCGAAGGCAGCCCCCUGGGUUACUACUGACGCUCAUGCACGAAAGCGUGGGGAGCAAACAGGAUUAGAUACCCUGGUAGUCCACGCCCUAAACGAUGUCAACUAGAUGUUGGAAGGGUUAAACCUUUUAGUGUCGUAGCUAACGCGUGAAGUUGACCGCCUGGGGAGUACGGCCGCAAGGCUAAAACUUAAAUGAAUUGGCGG